This 468-nucleotide ribosomal RNA is filed under the name uncultured bacterium. RNAcentral's name for it is "partial 16S ribosomal RNA". It matches the Rfam family "Bacterial small subunit ribosomal RNA", at positions 329 to 793 of the family's 1533-position model. The record is from RNAcentral.
UUCCAGACUCCUACGAGAGGCAGCAGUGAGGAAUAUUGGUCAAUGGCCGGGAGGCUGAACCAGCCAAGUCGCGUGAGGGAAGACGGCCCUACGGGUUGUAAACCUCUUUUGUCAGGGAGCAAUUGGCGCUACGUGUAGCGUUAUCGAGAGUACCUGAAGAAAAAGCACCGGCUAACUCCGUGCCAGCAGCCGCGGUAAUACGGAGGGUGCGAGCGUUAAUCGGAAUUACUGGGCGUAAAGCGCUCGUAGGCGGUAUGUCAAGUCAAGGGUGAAAUCCCCGCGCUCAACGUGGGAACUGCCUUUGAAACUGGCAAACUGGAGUGUGUGAGAGGAUAGUGGAAUUCCAGGUGUAGGAGUGAAAUCCGUAGAUAUCUGGAGGAACAUCAGUGGCGAAGGCGACUAUCUGGCACAUAACUGACGCUGAGGAGCGAAAGCGUGGGUAGCAAACAGGAUUAGAUACCCGCGUAC